GAUGAACGCUGGCGGCGUGCCUAAUACAUGCAAGUCGAACGAAUCACUUCGGUGGUUAGUGGCGAACGGGUGAGUAAUACGUAAGCAACCUGCCUAUGGGACUGGGAUAACGUUUGGAAACGGACGCUAAUACCGGAUAGGUAAAGAGGAGGCAUCUCUUCUCUAUUAAAGUUUAGAUACACCGAUAGAUGGGCUUACGGCGCAUUAGCUAGUUGGUGAGGUAACGGCUCACCAAGGCGAUGAUGCGUAGCCGGACUGAGAGGGUGAACGGCCACAUUGGGACUGAGACACGGCCCAAACUCCUACGGGAGGCAGCAGUGGGGAAUAUUGCACAAUGGGGGAAACCCUGAUGCAGCGACGCCGCGUGAGUGAAGAAGUAUUUCGGUAUGUAAAGCUCUAUCAGCAGGGAAGAAAAUGACGGUACCUGACUAAGAAGCACCGGCUAAAUACGUG
RNAcentral lists this ribosomal RNA (453 nucleotides) under uncultured bacterium. RNAcentral's name for it is "bacterial SSU rRNA". It matches the Rfam family "Bacterial small subunit ribosomal RNA", at positions 28 to 507 of the family's 1533-position model. The record is from RNAcentral.